Cyprinus carpio carpio is the source of this 861-nucleotide long non-coding RNA. The record is from Ensembl. Lineage: Eukaryota; Metazoa; Chordata; Actinopteri; Cypriniformes; Cyprinidae.
GUAAUGAGCAAAUUUAGGUUAAGAAUAUAUCUAUUGUCUAUCAACAAAGUUUGAAAUAGCUUUAUUCAGAAGAAAGAAAUUCAUACAGGUUUGAAACAACAUGAGGACCACAGAUCUAACUACUUAUAGAAGGUCUGUUGUUCUUCAUGGUCUUCCCCUGUACUUGAGAGAGCCAGCUUAAAUUUCAAAGACUAUUUAGGAUACUGAGGCACUGGGGCCACACACAAAGGCCAUGAAAAUGGGGAUCCUGGAAGUGACUGACAGUUCUACCAACUCAGGACCAUAUCCCACAGUGGUCAAUGUGGCUGUAGUACUGGAGGAAGAAGUUGUCAUGUUUUACUGAAUUUCAUUUUGUAAAGCAGAUAUUUGUUUUUCCAGUACAGCUAUUGACUAAGAGUGAUAUGUCAUGCUUUCUUGAACUCUCAGAUCUUGUUUUGGCACUGGUUGAAUACUUGUGUAAUAUUUUACUUGAGCCUAACAGGCAAGUUCAUAUGUAUUUAAAUAAAUACAUAAAAUGUUCUUUAUCAAAGCAUAGUGUGUAAUUUAUUUGAAAUAAUGAAAAAUAGACUAUUUUGACCAACAUUAAUGAAAAAUAGACUUAUUGGCCAACAUUAAAUAUUUAAUACAACAUUUUAUUUCAAUUUGAGUCUGCUUGUUGGCCCAACAAGCUAUGUUUAGUCAACAGAAAAUAUUUAAUUGACACAACAUUCUAUUUCAAGUUCAGUCUACAUGCAGGGGUAGUCAGCACAACACAAAAAAGUUGGUUUCCGCAACUUAAAUUGGGCCAACUAAAAAUUUUAGGUGCAACGGGUCACUAGAAAUUUUUAUGUUGGAGAGGCAUAUAUUUUUUUACAGUGUGGU